AAAAUUUUAGUUUAACUUAAAAUAAUCUACUUACAAUAGAUUGAUUAUUACUUUAGUAGUAGAAUUUUU
RNAcentral lists this transfer RNA (69 nucleotides) under Pseudomyrmex particeps. RNAcentral describes it as "tRNA-Val". Lineage: Eukaryota; Metazoa; Arthropoda; Insecta; Hymenoptera; Formicidae. The record is from RNAcentral.